GAUGAACGCUAGCUACAGGCUUAACACAUGCAAGUCGAGGGGAAACGACAUCGAAAGCUUGCUUUUGGUGGGCGUCGACCGGCGCACGGGUGAGUAACGCGUAUCCAACCUGCCCACCACUUGGGGGAUAACCUUGCGAAAGUAAGACUAAUACCCAAUGAUAUCUCUAGAAGACAUCUGAAGGAGAUUAAAAGAUUUAUCGGUGAUGGAUGGGGAUGCGUCUGAUUAGCUUGUUGGCGGGGUAACGGCCCACCAAGGCAACGAUCAGUAGCCGGUCUGAGAGGAUGAACGGCCACAUUGGGACUGAGACACGGCCCAGACUCCUACGGGAGGCAGCAGUGGGGAAUCUUCCGCAAUGGACGAAAGUCUGACGGAGCAACGCCGCGUGAACGAUGACGGCCUCGGUUGU
Molecule: ribosomal RNA, 409 nt
Filed under: uncultured bacterium
Lineage: Bacteria
Description: bacterial SSU rRNA
Rfam family: Bacterial small subunit ribosomal RNA
Source: RNAcentral